GACGAACGCUGGCGGCGUGCCUAAUACAUGCAAGUCGAACGGAAAGGCCCUGCUCUUGUGGGGUGCUCGAGAGGCGAACGCGUGUGUAUCACGCGAGUAACCUCCCCCUGACAUUGGGGUAACUCCUGGAAAAUCGGGCUCUUAUACGGGAUGAGAUCUUGAUGCACGGUGGGGAUUGGAAAGUGUCGGCGGUUGGGGAUGGACUCGCGGCUUAGCAGCUUGUUGGUGAGGUUGUGGCUUACCAGGGCUUUGAAGGGUAGCCCACGUGAGAGGGUGGCCGGGCACAUUGGUACUGAGAUAGGGCCCAGAAGGCUACGGUCGGCAACGGUGGAAAGUAUGGCGGAGUAGGCGGGAGCCAGUUACAACAGUGCCGGGUGCGGGAUGACGGCUUUCGGGUUAUAAACCGCUUUCGCCUGUGACGAAGCGUGAGUGACGGUAAUGGGUAAAGAAGCACCGGCUAACUACGUG
This 468-nucleotide ribosomal RNA is filed under the name uncultured bacterium. RNAcentral's name for it is "partial 16S ribosomal RNA". It matches the Rfam family "Bacterial small subunit ribosomal RNA", at positions 28 to 507 of the family's 1533-position model. The record is from RNAcentral.